GUGACUUUGACGACUUACACAUUCAUUUUAUGGUACAGAGACCAUCGGACUUCAGGAAAAAUUUCAGAUUCACAUCUGAAAAUUUUAGAGGCACUAUACAAUUUCUAAAUCAAAAUACAUUAAAGCAAUCCUGUGUCUACAUCCCUUGAAUGUCACUAAUGCCUCAGGAUCAUGUUUCACAUUUAAUUUGUUUCAGAAUGAUGCGCAAAAAAUUCUUUGCCCAAGAAUUGUUUGGACAGGACAAACACCAGAGACAGGAUGCCACUUCAUUCUUUGGGUUUUUGACAAGACAGAAAAACAAAUAAGGAUUUACCAUAACACCGAACAUUACAUUAGCAUUUCAGCCUCAGACAUGAACAUUCUGAGAGAUGCCUUUCGAAAUACAGACUCCCUGGAUGGGUGAACUGUGUGCAGUCUUCGGGUUUACCAUGCCUCCCGUUUGGUUGAAAAUCUACAUAUUGGGGAAUUACAACCUAAGAAAACAGUGCAUAAAGCUGUAAACACAUGUAUGGCCCAGGACUUUGAUGUUUGCAUAUUUCAAAAAAUCCGGACAAAAACAAUGCAUCCAGAUGUCAAAUCACUGCAAUGGAUUCAGUGCGACAGCUGUAAUAAAUGGUUGCACUAUAAGUGCGCUGGUAUUGAUCCGGUAGUGGUCACAGACGACAUGCCAUUCAACUGUGGAUUGGAUAUUGUUCAACCAUGUCCUUAUGAGAAGUUCCGUUCAUUGGUCUAUUCAGCUGUCAUUUCUCAUUUCUCCCCCGGUUACGUCAUUCUUACGUCACAUCCAAUAAGCAAAGACCACCCAUCAUAAAAGCGCGCGUCAGACCACUCACCAGCCCUCUCUUUUCCCUUUCUUAUCUUGUUUUCUUGUUGCGUUGCGUUACGAAAAGAACCAGUCUAACUGUGUAUUUUGUUGUUGCCCGUUUCUGUGUGCACGUUAUCCGUCCGUUAUUCGUAUAUCACUCCAUUUCUCCGUUUACGUUGUUUACGAGGCUUGGACGAAGCAGACAGGUAAGAAGGUCACGUGACAUACAUUUUGCAACACUUAGUACUACUCUUCUGUAUAGUACAUUAGGUUAGGGGCGAGCGCCACCCCUUGUACUUUUGGAUAGAUAGAUAGAAUAGACAGUCAGGACUCGGAAGACUCUUCGCGUGCUAAUUAUUUUGUCUUCACAUAGUUAGCUAGAUGCUUCUGGAAAGUUAGAUUUAGUUUGUGUUUUGUUCUUUUCGUUUCCUUAGCGCCGCCCACGUCCCUUCUGCCAGCUCUCCUGUUUUUCCCCGUCUUUAUAUUUGUCUCAGUGUUGUAAAUAUUGUAAAUAGUAUAUUUUGCCUUACUUUAUUUUCUUUAUUUUGGAAUUAUUCGUUGUUUUUGUUCACUUUUGGGAAAUAUAAAUAAAAUCACAAUUUUGGUAUUAUUUUGGUUGUCUUUUGCACUUAUUCACUGUUUGUAUAAAUAUAUUUUAAUUACACCUGAAUGUCAAACCCCACCAUCCCCUAGACUAACAUCAAGGGUUUGUAACAGCA
Molecule: long non-coding RNA, 1524 nt
Organism: Danio aesculapii
Lineage: Eukaryota; Metazoa; Chordata; Actinopteri; Cypriniformes; Danionidae
Exons: 6
Source: RefSeq, a predicted model, not a curated record